AUGGGCGGGGGAAGGAGGAGAUGGGGUGGCGAAUGCAGUGAGUAUGGGACGGGGAACCUGCGGGGGCGCGGCGGAGCACCGGCGCCGCGUUGGAUGGGUGGCAGCGGCCGGCGGCGCCCUCCUAGGGUUACAGAUGGGGGAGAAAGGGGACGAGGGGAGAAGAGAAGCUGGGCGACGGGAAAGCGCGUCGGGCGCAACUCCACCUUCCGCUUUUUUAGAAGCUACGCUUUGGCUGCUCCAGGAAAUUACACUGCGAGAGGACGGGCUCCGCGAAGCAGGCUUCCAGAAGCUAGCGCGUUUGGGCUGGCUUCACGCCGGAGACGGUGA
This 327-nucleotide ribosomal RNA is filed under the name Triticum aestivum (bread wheat). Its description in RNAcentral is "partial small subunit ribosomal RNA". Lineage: Eukaryota; Viridiplantae; Streptophyta; Magnoliopsida; Poales; Poaceae. The record is from RNAcentral.